Molecule: signal recognition particle RNA, 99 nt
Filed under: Oscillospiraceae bacterium
Lineage: Bacteria; Bacillati; Bacillota; Clostridia; Eubacteriales; Oscillospiraceae
Also listed under: 1 other name
Description: signal recognition particle sRNA small type
Rfam family: Bacterial small signal recognition particle RNA
About the family: The signal recognition particle (SRP) is a universally conserved ribonucleoprotein involved in the co-translational targeting of proteins to membranes. Archaeal SRP consists of a 7S RNA and homologues of the eukaryotic SRP19 and SRP54 proteins.
Source: RNAcentral
GGGCAGGCGCUGUGCGACAGAACAGCGUGAACCAUGUCAGGCGGGGAACCGAGCAGCAUUAAGCGUCUCGUUGUGUGCGAUGCAGUCAGUCUGUUCGAC